AGUGAACGCUGGCGGUAGGCCUAACACAUGCAAGUCGAACGGCAGCACAGUAAGAGCUUGCUCUUACGGGUGGCGAGUGGCGGACGGGUGAGGAAUACAUCGGAAUCUACUUUUUCGUGGGGGAUAACGUAGGGAAACUUACGCUAGUACCGCAUACGACCUACGGGUGAAAGCAGGGGAUCUUCGGACCUUGCGCGAUUGAAUGAGCCGAUGUCGGAUUAGCUAGUUGGCGGGGUAAAGGCCCACCCAGGCGACGGUCCGUAGCUGGUCUGAGAGGGUGAACAGGCACACUGGAACUGGGACACGGACCAGACACCUACGGGAGGCAGCAGUGGGGAAUAUUGGACAAUGGGCGCAAGCCUGAUCCAGCCAUACCGCGUGGGUGAAGAAGGCCUUCGGGUUGUAAAGCCCUUUUGUUGGGAAAGAAAAGCAGCAGGUUAAUACCCCGCUGUUCUGACGGUACCCAAAGAAUAAGCACCGGCUAACUUCGUG
Molecule: ribosomal RNA, 492 nt
Filed under: uncultured bacterium
Lineage: Bacteria
Description: partial 16S ribosomal RNA
Rfam family: Bacterial small subunit ribosomal RNA
Source: RNAcentral